RNA transcript from Polyodon spathula (Mississippi paddlefish), 5433 nucleotides. It is a transcript of the gene named arf-GAP with coiled-coil, ANK repeat and PH domain-containing protein 2-like, with no coding region annotated. The record is from RefSeq and is a predicted model, not a curated record. Lineage: Eukaryota; Metazoa; Chordata; Actinopteri; Acipenseriformes; Polyodontidae. The transcript is spliced from 27 exons.
GCUGAAAGGACUGUUUUAAAAUCAGUUGGCAUCCAUUUAGAUGCGCUGUAGUCGGUUUUGUUGGUACAGCACAGGGAAGACAGCAGCAGGGCUGGUAGGUUAGGUAAUCACAUAGAAAGACACAAACCCGAUAUGCCAACAGUCCCUAUAUGGUCUAGAUAGUCCCUAUUUCCGACCAAAAUUUCUUCUUUCUGUCUUUAGGGGCUGCUGACCCUCGUGCACUGCCUUGCAGGGAUUGUGUUCACAUGACCCGAUCUUACAAUGUCAUAUCCAGUCAUAUUGGAGAAGCGUAUUGUUUCCUCCCUACUGCAGCAAUAUGAUUUGAUGUUUAUGAGUUAGAGUAAAACGUGGGAGCCAAUGGAACGUGUGGAAAUUAAUUUAGCUACACCUCCUCGCUGGUGUCCCGCUGAACAAUUUCCAAAUGUUGGCAAAUAUGGUACAAUGCAGUCUUGGGCAUAGUAUAUUUUCCAUGUUAUAAGCAGCAUCUACAUCCACAUACAUAUGCUUUCUUCGGUACAUACAGGAAAUAGAGGUAUUUUAUCUGUAAACAUCCUAUUAGAAUGAUGCUAAAACGCUAUUUUUUCCAUACAUACAGUGGGAAUAACACCCCUCCUCUGACCAACAGCACGACUUUCCAGUUGGCUGUUCCUGAAGCCAGUCCCUCUCCCGGAAAGCCGAGUGAAAGUCCUGCCUCUGGUAUCAGGUGACGACGCUCUCGUUGGCUCUGCGCUUUGACAGUCAGCGCGUCUCCAUGGCUGUGCGCUGGGAAGCUCGUAGUGGUCGGUUUGUGUUUUCGAAGCAGGAAUAAGCAGUUUGUGGAAAGUCUACGAUCCCCAUCAACAUUGCGAUGACUGGAUUCACCCUGCUUCGGAUUUUACUUCAUUUAUUACCGAAACACAACAUGAAGGUUACUGUCGCUUUUGAGGAAUGUCUCAAAGAUUCUCCCAGAUUCAGGGCAGCAAUCGAGGAGGUAGAGGGAGAUGUAUCUGAACUGGAAUCCAAGCUUGAUAAGCUGGUAAAGCUUUGUAUUGGAAUGAUCGAUGCUGGCAAGGCAUACAAUACAGCCAACAAACAGUUUGUGAAUGGAGUCCGAGAACUUGCCCAGCAGUCUGCCAAAGACGAGGUCAUUGAGACCAGCUUGACGAAAUUUGCAGAAAGCCUGCAGGAGAUGAUCAAUUAUCAUACAAUCUUGUUUGACCAAGCCCAGAGAUCCAUCAAGUCACAGCUUAUGACGUUUGUGAAAGAAGAUCUGCGCAAGUUCAAGGAUGCCAAGAAGCAGUUUGACAAGGUCAGCGAGGAGAAAGAGACGGCGCUGGUGAAGAACGCACAGGUGGCUCGCAACAAGCAGCACGAGGUGGAGGAGGCCACUAACAUCCUGACCGCAACCCGGAAGUGUUUCAGACACAUCGCUCUGGACUACGUGCUACAGAUUAACGUCCUACAGUCCAAAAGGAGAUCUGAAAUUUUAAAAUCGAUGCUCUCCUUCAUGUUCGCCCACCACACCUUUUUCCGUCAGGGCUAUGACUUGUUCAGAGAGCUGCAGCCGCUUAUGAAACAGCUAGGAGGGCAGCUGGACCAGCUGGUGGUAGAUGCCGCAAAGGAGAAGCGGGAUAUGGAACAGAAGCACUCCACCAUCCAGCAAAAGGCUGCUCUGCAGGUGACUGUGUCUGAUACAGUGCCAGAUGCCAGAUGCUUUUGUGCUUGGAGGUCAACAGGUGACUUCUCGAAUGACGACACCAAGCUGGAGUAUAAUGUGGACGCCGACAAUGGAAUCGCCAUGGAGGGGUAUCUUUUCAAAAGGGCCAGCAAUGCCUUCAAAACAUGGAACAGGCGCUGGUUCUCUAUUCAAAACAACCAGCUAGUAUACCAGAAGAAGUUUAAGGAUAAUCCCACUGUGGUGGUGGAGGACCUGAGGUUGUGCACAGUGAAACACUGUGAGGACAUUGAGCGACGCUUCUGCUUCGAGGUCGUCUCUCCUACAAAGAGCUGCAUGAUGCAGGCAGACUCUGAAAAGCUGCGGCAGGCGUGGAUUAAGGCUGUUCAGAACAGCAUCGCUACAGCGUUCAGGGAGCAGGGUGAAAGCUCUGAGAAGCUGGACAGGAAGUGUUCCACGUCUACAGGCAGCCUUGAGUCUGGCAGCGAGCUGAAGGAGAAGUCUCUCAAAGGGGAGAGCGCGCUGCAGCGGGUCGAGUGCAUCGCCGGCAAUGCCAGCUGCUGUGACUGUGGGAUGGCUGAACCUCGCUGGGCCAGCAUCAACCUGGGGAUCACACUGUGCAUCGAGUGCUCAGGAAUACACAGGAGUCUCGGGGUCCACUUGUCCAAAGUCCGGUCUCUUACCUUAGACUCUUGGGAGCCUGAACUGCUCAAGGUCAUGUGCGAGUUGGGGAACAGUGUUAUAAACAGCAUAUAUGAGGCUAAUUUGGAAGAGCUGGGUGCCAAGAAGCCACAGCCCGGAGAUCCCAGGCAGGACAUUGAGGCUUACAUCAGAGCAAAGUAUGUUGAGAAAAGGUUUGUCCGGAAACCAACGGCAGCAGAGCAGAGAACGAAGGUUAUAUCUCUGAGCAGGCACGAGAAACGGCUGAGCAGCAGCAGCUCUGAGUACCUGCCACCUCGCCCCCCUCCACCCACCCCCAAAAUAAGACCUGCGUCCCACAUCUCAGCGGCUGCGGCUUGUAGUGACGAGGCCCGCCGGGAGUCUCUCUUCUGUCCCGAUGAGCUAGACUCGCUCUUCUCCUACUUUGACACCUCUUCCAAGCUGCGUAGUAAAAAGAGUGCGGACAGUGGGAUCCAGAACAGUGCUGAUGGAAGCAAGGAGAUGCUGGCCUCUACCCAGUCUGCAAACAGCUUGAGUGAACCUGGUGUUCCAGAGCCUGCUGUUCCAGAGCUUGGGAAGAACUCUACAGGGCUGGUGGAGUUCAAGGAAUGCUGUCCGGGACUCCAGCUGUACUGGGCUGCGUUCGCGUGCAACCUCCCGGACAUGGCCGAGGCACUGGCACAGGGAGCUGAGGUGAACUGGGUGAACACAGAGGCUGACAAGCAAACCCCCUUAAUACAGGCCGUCCAGGGGGGUUCGCUGGUUGCCUGCGAGUUUUUGCUGCAGAACGGUGCUAAUGUGAAUAAUCAUGACGUGCAUGGGAGAGGACCUCUGCAUCACGCCACCGUCCUUGGACACACUGGACAGGUGUGUCUGUUCUUGAAAAGAGGGGCCAGUCAGAAUGCGGUUGAUAAUGACGAUAAAACCCCUCUUUCAAUAGCUGUGGAUGCUGCCAAUGCAGAUAUUGUAACCUUGUUACGGCUGGCGAAGAUGAAUGAUGAGAUGCGGGAAUCGGAGGGACUCUAUGGACAGCCAGGUCAAUAUACCACUAACAGCCACACUGAAAUGCAAUACAAGAAAUGUAUACAGGAGUUCAUAAGCCUGCAGUUGGAGGAGUCUUAGUAUUUAUUUAGGGAACGGUAGCAUUAUAUAGAGGUACUGUGGUUAGAUAAGAUUACAGCCAGAUUUAUGUACAUUUUACACAUGUAUACAUACAGACAUAUAAUACAUACAUACAUACAUGAAUGUGUGAGUCUAUAGUGCUACCAAACUGUGUCAAGGUCAUUCUUCCCAAAACUAUCCCAAGUAUUCAAAAGUAAAUGAGUAUUUAACAAAAGUGUUCAGACUCAGCAGUCCGUAGAAAACUGACAGUACAGAGUUCUGGACGUAACAAGGCUAAAUUACUGUCUUUUAGUAAUAAUAAAUGAAAGUAUUAUGCCUUACAUUUAUUCCAUUAACAGUUAAUAUGCUGCAACAUGAAAAAAUGAUUAGUAAACCGUUUCUAUUAGUCACUAAUAGAAUAGAAGUGUAAUCAGAAGUAUAAAACAUGCAACUUUGGUGGCAAGGUGGUUAAAAAUACAGACUUUAAAAAGAUACAAUUCUGCAUGGAAAAGGGAACAUAGGUCUUAUUUGUUUGCCAACAUUAAUUAAGAAAGAAACAAAAUAAAUAAAUGCCAAAAAUCAAUAUAGCGGGCAUAAUACGAUAUGUAUACAUGUGUUCAAAAUGCAGCACUGGCUUAAACAAAUAAUAAAGGUAUUAUAUUCCAGAUAUUAAGUCUUUUCUUCUUCGCUGUCAGCUGUGAAUUCUAGAAGAAAAGGCUCCUGUACAGUAUUGUAAAUGAGUUUGAUUUCGAAACACCCUUUGCACAAAGCUGGGUGCUUGUCUUCAGUGGGAGCUGCUAGACUGAGAGCUGCCGUGUCGGGGCACCUCUCUCUACAGGCUUCACUGCAGGGGGCCGAUCUGCACCAGAGUGUUCCUGUCACUCUAAAGCAAUGCAAACUCAUCAGCCAAUUAAAGCCAAUACACUCUUAAUUGUUUUAGUGUUUUAAACAUUCCAAUAUCAUUUUGUUUUGUAUUUUUGAAGUCUGAAAGCAAAAUACUUCAUUAUACUGUAUGGUCACCUCAUUCCUCAUAGAAUAGCAGCUGCCCAUCAACUACACAGAAGUCAAAGGGAGAAACUGGAGCUUCUUGUUUGUUAUUUUGUUUUAAUAUAUAAAAUCUGGUAUCAUCUGAAAUGUAUAAAUUAGUGAAAUCCGGAACCAUUUUUGGCCGUUAGAAAUUAAAAGAAAAGGCUAUAUAGAUUUUACAAGCUGUAUCAGGAAUCUGUUCACAUCGGAAUUAUUCAGUACAGCAAUAAGCAGUGUAUAUGCACAAAUGGGCCAGGGAAAUCCUGAGACCGAGUUACAGAUUGGGAUUCAAGUGUGUUUAAAACGUAAUACUGCAGUACCUUUUAAUAGUUUAGAAACUAUUUGUGCUUUAAUUGGUUUAAUUGAAAUCCAGCUGAUUUUCCUCUAGACCUGCCUCUCCCAGUAGAUUUUACUGUUACUUUUAAAAGUAACAGUCCAAAUGUUUUAAAACAUCCGUACCGCUCUGUUUGUUUAUUGUCACUUCUCAUGUUUUUUUUUCUAUUCUCUCAAGUUUGUGCCUUUUCCGUUCUCUGACUGGUUGCUGAGGCCAAUGUAACUGUAAUUUUGUACAUAAAUCCUGCACUUUAAAUACAACAUGGUUGUUAAAGAUAAAAAUAUAAAAAAAAAAAAAAAUCCCAUUUUUGUUGAGAGAAUAAAAAGACAUAAUUGUAUCGUGUGGUUUAGGACAGACUCAUUAUUUCCAAAUUCUAUUUCCAAAUUGAAUGCUGGUUUAAGAAGGAAGUGCUCUCCGUCCAGGUUGAGUCUUUCAUCCUACAGCACAUACCUUGAACUGGUCUGGCUACCUUGUUCCAGAACCACUGAACUGUUAUAAAAUUGCUGCUAAACUUCUGUUGCUUAUCUCUGCCAUCUUUUCUAUUGAGCUGCUUUGAAGCUUUCUCAGGUGAUGAAACUUAUCAAGAUAUUUUCAGAGAUUUCUCUCAGAUGGCUUCAAAUGAUCCAGAGAAACUGAACCGGUUCCAGCAGUAUGACUC